GACGAACGCUGGCGGCGUGCCUAAUACAUGCAAGUCGAGCGCAGGAAGUCAUCCGAACCCUUCGGGGGGACGUUGACGGAAUGAGCGGCGGACGGGUGAGUAACACGUAAAGAACCUGCCCUCAGGUCUGGGAUAACCACGAGAAAUCGGGGCUAAUACCGGAUGGGUCAUCGGACCGCAUGGUCCGAGGAUGAAAGGCGCUCCGGCGUCGCCUGGGGAUGGCUUUGCGGUGCAUUAGCUAGUUGGUGGGGUAAUGGCCCACCAAGGCGACGAUGCAUAGCCGACCUGAGAGGGUGAUCGGCCACACUGGGACUGAGACACGGCCCAGACUCCUACGGGAGGCAGCAGUAGGGAAUCUUCCACAAAGGACGAAAGUCUGAUGGGGCAACGCCGCGUGAACGAUGAAGGCCCUCGGGUCGUAAAGUUCUGUUGUAAGGGAAGAACAAGUGCCGCAGGCAAUGGCGGCACCUUGACGGUACCUUGCGAGAAAGCCACGGCUAACUACGUG
This 508-nucleotide ribosomal RNA is filed under the name uncultured bacterium. RNAcentral's name for it is "partial 16S ribosomal RNA". It matches the Rfam family "Bacterial small subunit ribosomal RNA", at positions 28 to 507 of the family's 1533-position model. The record is from RNAcentral.